This 486-nucleotide ribosomal RNA is filed under the name uncultured bacterium. RNAcentral's name for it is "partial 16S ribosomal RNA". It matches the Rfam family "Bacterial small subunit ribosomal RNA", at positions 899 to 1397 of the family's 1533-position model. The record is from RNAcentral.
ACUCAAAUGAAUAGACGGGGACCCGCACAAGCGGUGGAGCAUGUGGUUUAAUUCGACGGUAAGCGAGGAACCUUACCAAGGCUUGACAUGUACCUGCAUCCCGAUGAAAAUCGGGAGCCUUCGAGGGUGGUACACAGGUGCUGCACGGUUGUCGUCAGCUCGUGUCGUGAGAUGUGCACUUAAGUGUGCGAACGAGCGCAACCCCUAUUGCUGGUUACAAGUGUCCAGCGAGACUGCCAGGGUUUAACCUGGAGGAAGGUGGGGAUGACGUCAAAUCAGCGUGGCUCUUACGCCUUGGGCUACACACGUGCUACAAUGGGUAGAAACAAAGGGACGCCAAGGAGCAAUCCGGAGCAAAUCCCGCCAAAUCUACCCCCAGUUCAGAUUGAGGGCUGAAACUCGCCCUCAUGAAGCCGGAAUCGCUAGUAACCGUAUAUCAGCCUCGAUACGGUGAAUACGUUCUCGGGUUUUGUACACACCGCCCGU